UACUUAUUAAAGAUUAAUAGAAACAAUUUUUAUAAAAUUACAUCAAUGGAAAUACUAAGAAGUUAAAAGGUUAAUAUAUUUUACCUUUAGUAUAAUGGUUAUACAAUAAUUAUAUUGAAUAAUAAUUCCCGAAACGAGAAGAGCUAUCUAGCAGCCUUUUUUAGAUGUCAAAAAAGCUAUGUUGAAUUAUGGCUAAUAGACUGUUAGCUAGGAGCUAAAAACUUUCAAUUCUCGAGAUACCUGGUAACCCUACAAAAGCAUUUAGUGCUGUCAAAGUGAAAUACAAAGUGAUGAGAUUUUGUAUAAUUAGAAUUAAAAGACUUUAUUUUAUUUUUUAGAGUUAAUCCUAAAGAAUUUUAAACUUCAAAUUAUUAAUUUUUGUUUUCAUCUAACUUAUAGAGGGCAUUCCCAAAAAACCUUUUUUGGGAUUUAUUAUGUAUAAAUGAGUAGGUGUAUAAGCUAUUUUUUAUUAUUUUGUGAAUAAUGAAAUGUUUUUAUAUUUUUUAAUUAAUUUAAAGGAAUUCGGCAAAUUUAAACUUCGACUGUUUAACAAAAACAUAGCCUUACGAGUAGAUGUAAGGUCAGACCUGCCCAAUGUGUAUAUCAUGAAUGGCCGCGGUACUUUGACCGUGCUAAGGUAGCGCAAUCAAUUGGCUUUUAAUUGGGGCCAUGUAUGAAUGGAGUAACGGGGUUUAGCUGUCUCUAAAUUAUUUUAUUGAAAUUACUAUUUAGGUGAGAAAGCCUGAGAUAAGAAAAAGGACGAGAAGACCCUUAGAGUUUUACUAAAAUCAAAUAACUAAUUUUUGGAGCAGUUUAGUUGGGGCAACAUAGGAGCAGAAUUAUUUAAUCUCCUGAAAAAACAAACCGAUAGUAAUAAAAAUGUGUAAACUACCUUAGGGAUAACAGCAUAAUUUUAUUAAUAAGUUUGUGACCUCGAUGUUGGACUAGGAAACUAAAGGGCUAGCCGCCUUUUAGGAAGGUUCUGUUCGAACUAUUAUUCCU
RNAcentral lists this ribosomal RNA (1002 nucleotides) under Onchidoris muricata. Its description in RNAcentral is "large subunit ribosomal RNA". The stretch from base 482 to 1002 matches the Rfam family "Archaeal large subunit ribosomal RNA", at positions 1423 to 2665 of the family's 2987-position model. The record is from RNAcentral. Lineage: Eukaryota; Metazoa; Mollusca; Gastropoda; Nudibranchia; Onchidorididae.